Molecule: ribosomal RNA, 343 nt
Filed under: uncultured bacterium
Lineage: Bacteria
Description: partial 16S ribosomal RNA
Rfam family: Bacterial small subunit ribosomal RNA
Source: RNAcentral
CCUACGGGUGGCAGCAGUGAGGGAUAUUGGUCAAUGGGGGAAAUCCUGAACCAGCAACGCCGCGUGAGGGAAGACGGUUUUCGGAUUGUAAACCUCUGUCCUCUGUGAAGCUAAUGACGGUAGCAGAGGAGGAAGCUCCGUCUAACUACGUGCCAGCAGCCGCGGUAAUACGUAGGAAGCAAGCGUAGUCCGGAUUUACUGGGUGUAAUGGGUGCGUAGGCGGCUUUGCAAGUCAGAAGUGAAAUGCAUGGGCUUAACCCAUGAACUGCUUUUGAUACUGUAGAGCUUGAGAGGAGUAGAGGUAGGCGGAAUGCCCGGUGUAGCGGUGAAAUGCGUAGAGAUC